RNAcentral lists this long non-coding RNA (249 nucleotides) under Mustela putorius furo (domestic ferret). RNAcentral's name for it is "lncRNA (ENSMPUG00000029643.1)". The record is from RNAcentral. Lineage: Eukaryota; Metazoa; Chordata; Mammalia; Carnivora; Mustelidae.
GCCACAUCCUCUCGGGGUGGUGGGAGUGCUUCAAGGCCCAGGACAGGAAACAGCCCUCUCCCAGGAUGCUCCCUGUGGCGUGUGUCUCCAGAGAAUGUCGCCAUUCUCAUUCUCAGAGAUUCUAAUUGUGUUCACUAAGCAAAGAUGAGCUGAUGACCUUUCUCUAAACAUAGUUGAAGAAUUUUAAGAGACCAAAAUGGGAAUUUAGACAGAAGCACCCUUGCAUUCAAUGAAUAAGGCUCUACGUGU